RNAcentral lists this ribosomal RNA (482 nucleotides) under uncultured Erysipelothrix sp. Its description in RNAcentral is "bacterial SSU rRNA". It matches the Rfam family "Bacterial small subunit ribosomal RNA", at positions 897 to 1382 of the family's 1533-position model. Lineage: Bacteria; Bacillati; Bacillota; Erysipelotrichia; Erysipelotrichales; Erysipelotrichaceae. The record is from RNAcentral.
AAACUUAAAGGAAUUGACGGGGCCGCACAAGCGGUGGAGCAUGUGGUUUAAUUCGAAGCAACGCGAAGAACCUUACCAGGUCUUGACAUCCCGAUGCUAUUUCUAGAGAUAGAAAGUUACUUCGGUACAUCGGUGACAGGUAGUGCAUGGUUGUCGUCAGCUCGUGUCGUGAGAUGUUGGGUUAAGUCCCGCAACGAGCGCAACCCUUGUCUUUAGUUACCAUCAUUCAGUUGGGGACUCUAGAGAGACUGCCGGUGAUAAACCGGAGGAAGGCGGGGAUGACGUCAAAUCAUCAUGCCCCUUAUGGCCUGGGCUACAAACGUAAUACAAUGGCGUAUACAAAGGGAUGCGAAAGGGCGACCUGGAGCAAAACUCACAAAGUACGUCUCAGUUCAGAUUGGAGUCUGCAACUCGACUCCAUGAAGGCGGAAUCGCUAGUAAUCGCGGAUCAGCAUGCCGCGGUGAAUACGUUCUCGGGGUUU